Molecule: long non-coding RNA, 655 nt
Organism: Haliotis rubra (blacklip abalone)
Lineage: Eukaryota; Metazoa; Mollusca; Gastropoda; Lepetellida; Haliotidae
Exons: 2
Source: RefSeq, a predicted model, not a curated record
UGCACGUUAUGCAGUCCGUCGCUUAAUAAUUCAUGGCAUGCAGGAGUAUCGAUCUGUUCAGGGCUUCUGUGCUGGGAUUGCAUCACCGUCAUCACAAAUGCCCCGCUGUCGUUAGAAUCUUCCACGAAAACAUGCUAUCCCGGAAUCUACACUGUCUGGCCAUUGCUGAAAACUCAAAAUUGGUUAAACCGACACUUGCAGCCAGAAGAGUGAUUCCGUGUUGUAAGGCCAUGUACAUUUAUGGCGCCAUCAUCCGUGUUUAUUUCCACGCUAUAAAGCUGCUUCUGUAACACGCGGUCGAUAGCCGAGCGUCCACAUGCCGCCGAGUGGAAAGGUGUGGACGUGCACCAACUGUGCCACACUCUGCUGACCUCAGAACGUACCUGGAUUGCACCUGUAUUAUCGAUCACCUGUAGCUUCAACUGUCUUCCCAAUCACUACGACUUGUGAUCAGUCUCGCGGAACACCCAAGGGCGACGUGUCAUGUGACAGACUACGCAUGCCCUUCACGCACGCGAUUAUGACGUAGGGGAUUAAUGGACGGGUGUGUUAUUCUUCUUAUCGUGUAUAUCAGUGUUGGAAAACAGUAUACAUGCAACCACAGAUAUGUUUACAUUCUUGAAACAGAAAUAAAUAAAACAACAUACCACAAGGU